This 400-nucleotide ribosomal RNA is filed under the name uncultured bacterium. RNAcentral describes it as "bacterial SSU rRNA". It matches the Rfam family "Bacterial small subunit ribosomal RNA", at positions 355 to 772 of the family's 1533-position model. The record is from RNAcentral.
UGGGGAAUAUUGGACAAUGGGCGCAAGCCUGAUCCAGCAAUGCCGCGUGAGUGAAGACGGCCUUAGGGUUGUAAAGCUCUUUUAGUGGGGAAGAUAAUGACGGUACCCACAGAAAAAGUCCCGGCUAACUUCGUGCCAGCAGCCGCGGUAAUACGAAGGGGGCGAGCGUUACUCGGAAUGAUUGGGCGUAAAGCGUGCGUAGGCGAUCAAGAAAGUUGGGAGUGAAAUCCUUGGGCUCAACCUAAGAACUGCUCUCAAUACUUCUUGAUUUGAGUGUUGUAGAGGAUAGCAGAAUUCCUGGUGUAGAGGUGAAAUUUGUAGAUAUCAGGAGGAAUACCGAUUGCGAAGGCAGCUAUCUGGGCAAAUACUGACGUUGUUGCACGAAAGCGUGGGGAGCAAA